Molecule: long non-coding RNA, 1483 nt
Filed under: Equus asinus (donkey)
Lineage: Eukaryota; Metazoa; Chordata; Mammalia; Perissodactyla; Equidae
Description: lncRNA (ENSEASG00005038169.1)
Source: RNAcentral
AAAAAGAGGAAGAUUGGCAACACAUGUUAGCUCAGGGCCAAUCUUCCUCUAAAAGAAAGAAAGAAAGAAACAAAGAAAGAAAGAAACAAAGAAGAGAAAAGAAAAAGGAAGAACACAGGAAAAAAGUGUCCAGAGAGAAAAAACCUGGUCACAUGGGUAGGACUGAGCCUUCCCCAGAGAACUGGUGGCCACCUCAGCAGCAAUGCUGGCUGCCAAAGACAGAGGAGAAAAUCUUAACAUUUUUGAGCGAGAAUGAUCUUCAUUAAAAUUGUGCAUCUUAGCUCAAAUGGGAAUCAAACUGGAGCAAAGAAUAAAGGCAUUUUUCAGAUAUGCAAAGGCUUAAGAAAUUUAUUUUCCAUGCACCAUUUCUUGAGAAGUUACUUGAUGACAGGCUUUGGGAAAAUAUGGGACUAAGGGAGGAAGGCAGCAGCUGUAGGAAUUGGAGAGUGAGGGCUCCAAUCCAGAAGCCCACUGGGAGGAAUUCCCGGAGUCCCAGGAAGGCAUCAUCUCGGACUCCGCGCUCCCUGUCACACCCCCGUGCAAUCUCUCAGCCCUACUCCACGGAAACCUCCCAGGUCAGCCCUUCUCACCACCUGGCCCACACCUGUCCUUACACCAGGGUCCCGGGGGCUCCCUGCAUCCGCGGUUGCCCCCUACCGUCCAUCCUCCUAACUACACCCAGGGUGGACUUUUAAAACGAGACUGCCCUCGGUCACUCAUUUUUCACUCUGCCUAAUAUUUCCAUUUGCCGUCUGACAUAUUGUGCAUAUACUUUAUUUGCCUCCCUGAUGUGUGAGCAGAGGCUUUAUCUGCUUCAUUCUCCGCCCUGGAAGAGCGCUUGCAGCACGCAGCAGGCAGUUAUUUAACGUAUGUUGAAUGAAUAAAUGUUUCCCCACAAUGACCGCCCAGGUUGAAAGGAAUCUCCUUGUGAGGUCUUUCCAGAUCACUCCCCAACGCUGCCAACAGGACGUUCUGCCAAGCAGGAAGGUUCCAUAUCUGCGCUGUGCAUUAUGGCAGCCACGAGCCGCAGGAAGCUAUCGAGUUCUUGAAAAGAGGCGAGCGCGACCAAGGAACGAAUCGUUCCUUUCAUUUGAUUUCAGCUGAUUUACGGAGCCACCUGUGGCGGGUGGUCACCGUGUUGAACGGUGCAGCUCCUAUUCCAGGACGCUGUUUCACUGACACCGCCGCAUUCAUCAAUGCCCGACAUCACCAGAGUUGCUACUGCUUCCUUGUGGGUGGUGCGUUUCCCCGCAAAGGUCUUGGCUUGGGGAGAGCCGCGCCUCGCCCGGGGAUGAGGAGCAAGGCGGGACACGCGCUCGGCGCUCAGCAGGUAUGGCGGGGGUGCGCACGCGGGGCGCUCGGGAAACGAUGGAUCUCGGGAGCCUAGGGAGAGCUGGAGAGACCCCUCGGAGGGAGAUGCGACGCGGGGGCAGACGGAACGCGGGCGAGGGCCCGCGCGCAGGUACCGGCUCCCGGCCACACU